CAUCGAUCUGUCACCCUCGUUUACCUUUACUUUAGAUAACCACUCGCAGUGAAAAACUGGCUAUGAUCCCACAGGAGAAGAUGCUCCCGAAGACACACACAUGGAAACCUCAUCUAAUCAUCCCAGAUCACAGAAUAGAAGAGAUCUGGGUAAGGAUGAUGAAAGCGGGCCCCUCUAAUGCAAACCGCGCGGGACCGUCCGCUAGCUCACAAGAUUCCACUACAGUGGAUCGGCCGGCUCGUAGGCUCUAUAGACUCACUCUCUUCACAACGAGAGGAGUUUACUACACGUAUGGCCUCCUUUAGCCUUGUCUUAAACGUUGGCUCCGUGGCCCAAAGUGCUCGUCUU
RNAcentral lists this long non-coding RNA (348 nucleotides) under Nicotiana benthamiana. RNAcentral's name for it is "long non-coding RNA (NBEN_LNC039121)". Lineage: Eukaryota; Viridiplantae; Streptophyta; Magnoliopsida; Solanales; Solanaceae. The record is from RNAcentral.